UACGAAGGGGGCUAGCGUUGCUCGGAAUCACUGGGCGUAAAGGGCGCGUAGGCGGGUCUUUAAGUCAGGGGUGAAAGCCUGGAGCUCAACUCCUGAACUGCCUUUGAUACUGAGGAUCUUGAGUUCGGGAGAGGUGAGUGGAACUGCGAGUGUAGAGGUGAAAUUCGUAGAUAUUCGCAAGAACACCAGUGGCGAAGGCGGCUCACUGGCCCGAUACUGACGCUGAGGCACGAAAGCGUGGGGAGCAAACAGG
Molecule: ribosomal RNA, 253 nt
Filed under: uncultured bacterium
Lineage: Bacteria
Description: partial 16S ribosomal RNA
Rfam family: Bacterial small subunit ribosomal RNA
Source: RNAcentral